GUUCAUGUUGGGUGUGAAGGAACAGUGCCGUUUCGAUCAAGUGAACGUAUAGCUUUUCGCUAUCUCAUUAGUCAAAAAUUCACUGGUGAUUCAGUUGAGCUUGGUAUCAUUAGAGCGGGAGAAUUCAUGAAAGUUCAAGCAAUUUUGAAGCCACGUGUGCAUUUGGUUCCUUAUCACAUAGAAGAUGGUCAGCCUUCAUACCUAAUAGUUGCAGGCUUGGUGUUUACCCCACUAUCUGAACCACUAAUAGAGGAAGAAGAAGAUAGCAUCGGGCUAAAACUAUUGA
Molecule: unclassified non-coding RNA, 286 nt
Filed under: Hevea brasiliensis (rubber tree)
Lineage: Eukaryota; Viridiplantae; Streptophyta; Magnoliopsida; Malpighiales; Euphorbiaceae
Source: RNAcentral